GUAACCUGCCUCAAAGAGGGGGAUAGCCUCCCGAAAGGGAGAUUAAUACCGCAUGACAAAUAUAAUCCGCAUGGAUUAUAUUUUAAAGGAGAAAUCCGCUUUGAGAUGGACCCGCGGCGCAUUAGCUAGUUGGCAGGGUAACGGCCUACCAAGGCGACGAUGCGUAGCCGACCUGAGAGGGUGAACGGCCACAUUGGAACUGAGAGACGGUCCAGACUCCUACGGGAGGCAGCAGUGGGGAAUAUUGCACAAUGGGCGGAAGCCUGAUGCAGCAACGCCGCGUGAGUGAAGAAGGUUUUCGGAUUGUAAAGCUCUGUCAUCUGGGACGAUAAUGACGGUACCAGAUGAGGAAGCCACGGCUAACUACGUGCCAGCAGCCGCGGUAAUACGUAGGUGGCAAGCGUUGUCCGGAAUUACUGGGCGUAAAGGGUGCGCAGGCGGACAUUUAAGUGAGAUGUGAAAUACCCGGGCUUAACCCGGGCAGUGCACUUCAAACUGGGUGUCUGGAGUGCAGGAGAGGAGAACGGAAUUCCUAGUGUAGCGGUGAAAUGCGUAGAGAUUAGGAAGAACACCAGUGGCGAAGGCGGUUCUCUGGACUGAAACUGACGCUGAGGCACGAAAGCGUGGGUAGCAAACAGGAUUAGAUACCCUGGUAGUCCACGCCGUAAACGAUGAGUACUAGGUGUAGGAGGUAUCGACCCCUUCUGUGCCGCAGUAAACACAAUAAGUACUCCGCCUGGGAAGUACGAUCGCAAGAUUAAAACUCAA
Molecule: ribosomal RNA, 768 nt
Filed under: uncultured bacterium
Lineage: Bacteria
Description: bacterial SSU rRNA
Rfam family: Bacterial small subunit ribosomal RNA
Source: RNAcentral